GAGAUGUGGGUUAGUCCGCACGAGCGCACCUCACUUUUAGUUGCCAUCAUUAAGUUGGGCACUCUGAAAGAACUGCCAGUGAUAAGCUGGAGGAAGGUGGGGAUGACGUCAAGUCCUCAUGGCCCUUACGUGUUGGGCUACACACGUGCUACAAUGGCAUCUACAACAGGAAGCAAAACGGCAACGUUAAGCAAAUCCCGAAAAGAUGCCUCAGUUCGGAUUGCACUCUGCAACUCGAGUGCAUGAAGCUGGAAUUACUAGUAAUCGUGGAUCAGCGUGCCACGGUGAAUGCGUUCCCGGGUCUUGUACACACCGCCCGUCACACCAUGGGAGUUGGUUCUACCUUAAGGCAAGGUUUUAGACCCUUGACCACGGUAUAGUCAGCGACUGGGGUGAAGUCGUAACAAGGUAGCCGUAGGGGAACCUGCGGCUGGAUUACCUCCUUUCU
RNAcentral lists this ribosomal RNA (448 nucleotides) under uncultured Pelagibacterales bacterium. RNAcentral describes it as "bacterial SSU rRNA". It matches the Rfam family "Bacterial small subunit ribosomal RNA", at positions 1071 to 1533 of the family's 1533-position model. The record is from RNAcentral. Lineage: Bacteria; Pseudomonadati; Pseudomonadota; Alphaproteobacteria; Candidatus Pelagibacterales.